Molecule: long non-coding RNA, 4562 nt
Organism: Gorilla gorilla gorilla (western lowland gorilla)
Lineage: Eukaryota; Metazoa; Chordata; Mammalia; Primates; Hominidae
Exons: 4
Source: RefSeq, a predicted model, not a curated record
GGGCUUCCCUCAAUGGCCACGAUUCCGCUGGCACAAUGUAGUGCCCUGCCCCGGGCCUCAGUUUCCCCAUCUGUGGAACUGAGUGUGGCCUCGACGUCAAAAAUGUGGACUCUGGUCCGGUCGCGGUGGCUCACGCCUCAGCCUCAGCACCCCCUGGGAGCUCGAGACAUCUAAGGAGUUGACUGAGGCCCCUCCCUGACAUACUGAAGCGGAAUCUGCAUUUUAGCAAGAUCUGCAGGAUCUCUGGUCAGAACUAGUCACAAGAUCUUCCCUAACUGCCAGAACACUGGGAAAUGAAAGGGAACAAUGGAAUCAUUGGCGAGCAUUACUGUCUCUGCUCCAGGGUGGCUCAUAGACUCAAAUGAAAAUGCUGGAGCCUCAGAUUUGGGACUGAGUGUGGACCAGAGAACUUGGGAGACCUUGCCAGCAGCAGCUUAUGGAGGUCUGGUCAGGCUGUCAUCCAUUUUCAGCUAUCUGUCACCCUCUCAGGAUUUGCACUGGAGAAAGAGUAAGAGGAGAGAGAGAGAGAAACAACUGAUUGGCCCAGGAGGGUUCUAUGUCCCACUUGAAACACAAGUUAAUGGACAACUUGAUUGACAGAGUUGCACUAAAAGGUGGUGGGGGGAGUUCAUCCAAACAAAACUGGGGUGCUGUUACAACAAGAGAGGGAGGGUAGGUGCAUAGUGAGCAAAAGCACACACUUGCUGCAGAGCUGGUCCAAAUACCCACUCUUCAGAGUUGACAUCAUCUGGAAGGUUUAUAGAAGUGGGGGCUUUCCAGAUUAGCUUUAGAGGAUGGGAUAACUGAUGCAGAGGAAAGGUAAUGCAGGCUGAGAGGCCCGUGUAAGCACAGUGAAGCUGCAGAAGAGUGCAAUCAUUUGCAAGAAAGAGAAGGCUGGCUGGGUGCAGCGGCUCACACCUGUAGUCCCAGCACUGUGGAAGGCCGAGGCGGGAGGAUCCCUUGAGCCCAGGAGUUUGAGACCAGCCUGUGCAACACAGGGAGAUCCUGUAUCUACAAAAAAUUUAAAAAUUAGCCAGGCAUGGUGGUGCAUGCCUAUAGUCCUAGCUACUCGGGAGGCUGACGUGGGAGGAUUACCUGAGCCUUGGGAGGCUGUGGCUGCAGUGUGUCAUGAUUUUGCCACCACACUCCAGCCUGGGCAACAGAGUGAAACCCUGUCUCAAAAAAAAAAAAAAAAAAAAAAAGAGAAGGCCAUUGAGAUUGAACAGAGGAUAUGAUUUGCAGUUACAUUUUCACCCCAACUUACCCAGCUUAUCUUUCCUUCCCGUGGUGUCAACUCAGGGGACGCAAAUGGGUGGAGGCUGGUUGGAAUGGCUCAUACUACAUCAUGAGAUUGGAGCCUGGUCCUCCAUGUUGGCUGAGAGUCUCAGUUCUCCUCCACGUGGCCUCUCCUUGUGGUCAGCUUACAUUUCCUCAAAACGUGGCAGUCUCAGGGCAGUUGGGUUUCUUGUGUGCUGGCUCAGGGCUCCGGAGAGGAUAAAAUCAGAAUAUCUUGUUCUUCCUCAGGCUUGGGCCCAGACUAGCACAGCAUCAUUAUCUUUUUAUUCUGUGAGUUAACAUAUUUCAGAGGACCAGUGCAGAUUCAGAGUGGAGAGGGCUGCAUAAGAACACGAACACUGGGAGGUGGCUUCAUUUGGGGCCAUCUUUGGAGACCAACUAUGAUGCAUGAUGUAACUGACCUGAAUUCCCAAGCUUCUACCCCCAGCUCCAGCAUAAGGUAGGUAAGAAGUGACUGGCAACGUAAGUGGGUCAUGUUGGAGGAAAGGUAAGUCUGGAGCUAGGCCUUACAGGUGUUCAGUGCCACAGAUGAAAAUGAUGGUGCUAGGGAAGAGGUAGUGCAGGAGGUCUUUCUCUUCAUGGGCCUCUUCCCAGAUUUCCCCUGUGGAUCUUGUUGGCCAAAACUGAAUCACAUCAGCACCUCUUACUGCAAGGAAGCCUGGGCAAGUCAGAAUCCGUGAAAGGGAAGUGGGAUUGUUAUUUCUGGCCUAAGUCAACCCUGAUUCAUUCUCCAGGCAUGUGUGGGCCAUUGCAGCCUGAAUUAAUCAGGAGGGAAGAAGAAGUGCGAUGAUAACUGGCCAGUGAUACACAGUGGGAGGUCAGUACAAACCUACCCCAAAGGCCGAGGAAGCUGAGAGGUUGAAGAAAGAGGCUGACAAACCCAGUUUUUCAGAGACAAAUUGUUGUUGUUGUUGUCGUUGUUGUUUUUAGAGACAGGGGCUUACUGUCACCCAGGCUAGAGUGAAGUGAUGUGAUCAGAACUCACUACAGCUUUAAACCUCCUGGGCUCAAGCAGUCCUCCCACUUCAGCCUCCCGAGUAGCUGGGACUACAAGUCACACACCACCACACCUGGCUAAUUUUUUUUUAAUGUUUUGUAGAAACGGUCUCACUAUGUUGUCCAUGUUGGCCUCAAAGCCCUGGGUUCAAGUGAUCCUCCAACCAUGGUCCCCCAAAGUGUUGGGAUUAUAGGCUGGAGCCAUGGCUUCCUAGAAAGAAGCAUUUAACUGGGACUUGUGAACAGAAGCCACAUAUCCAGUGGCUGAGAAAUAGCAGUCCCCUGUGCUGCUACCUCCCAGCCCCAAGACCAGGGCUUAUAUACCAUAGGGAAAUUGCCUAAGGGCAGGAUUUAUGAUUAGCAUGUGUUUACAAUAACAUCAAGGUUGUUUUGACCUAAGGGCAGGCUUUGCAGUAAGUAGAGAUCUUAGAGGCAUUCCUGCAACUGUGGUGAAUCUUAAGUCAACAUGGUGGAUCUGCAUCCAAAAUGGAGUUGCUUUCGCCUCACAGUAGGCAACAUACAGAGGAUGUCACAAGCAACAAAAAACAGGGAAAGCAGCUUGGAGGAUAUAGCUUUACUUCAGGUGAGAGGAGGGUGGGGCUGGACCAGGGCAGAAGCAGCAAGGAGUGGGAAAUAAGCCAGAUGUGAAAAUGAACACAGAAGUGGAGGGUACUGCGUGGAAUACUAUGCAGCCAUAAAAAAGAAUGAAAUCAUGUCCUUUGAAGCAACAUGGGUGCAGCUGGAGACUGUUAUCCUCAGUGAAUUAACACAGGGACAGAAAACCAAAUACUGCAUGUUCUCGCUUAUAAGUGGGAGCUAAACAUUGAACAUGCAUGGUCAUUAACAUGGGAACAAUAGACACGAGAGACUUCUAAAGGGAGGAUGGUAGGAGGGGGCAAGAGUUGAUAUGCUUCCUAUUGGGUACUAUGCUCAGUACCUGGGUGAUGGGGUCAUUUGUACCCCAAACCUCAGCGACACACCAUUUACCCAUGUGACAAGCCUGAACAGGUACCCCCAAAACCUAAAAGCUGGGAAAUAAGAAAAGAAGCAGAGUGCACAGCCCAUGGCUGCUAUGACUGUCUUUCACAAGCGAGAAUGGGAAAGAGAGACAGAGAGGGAAGUCAACAAUGACAACAUCAUUUCCAGCUUGCUUAAUUGGAUGGUGACACCAUCCAAGCACAGAAGUUAGCUCGCGAGAGACAAUGACUUUGCCCUAGGCAUUCUGAGGGCAAGAGGUGUGAGAGAACAUGCUCAAGGUGUGGAUCAUGAAACACGAGGGCAUGGGGCCAGGUCGGGGGGCUCACGCCUGGAAUCCCAGCACUUUGGGAGGCCGAAGCAGACGGAUCACAUGAGGUCAGGAGUUCGAGACUAGCCUGGCCAACAUGGCAAAACCCCAUCUCUACUAAAAAUACCAAAAUUAGCUGGGCGUUGUGGCAGGUGCCUGUGAUCCCAGCUACUUGGGAGGCUGAGGCAGAAGAAUCGCUUGAAACCGGGAGGUGGAGGUUUCGGUGAUCCGAAGUGGCACCACUGCACUCCAGCCUGGGAGACACAGUGAGACCACCCUGUCUCAUAAAUAAAUAAAUAAAUAAAUAAAUAAAUAAAUAAAAUACUAGGGCAUGGGAGAAAGGACAGGGCUAGAUGUGGAGACUUUAAAUGACCAAUGCAGAACUGUAGUCAACGCCAUGCUAUGGGCUGGGUGCAGUGGCUCAUGGCUGUAAUCCCAGCACAUUGGGAGGCCAAGGUGGGAGGAUUGCUUGAGCCCAGGAGGUCAAGAAUAACCUGGGCAACAUAGGGAGACCACGUCUCUACAAAACAAAAUAAAACCAAAACAAAAUCGUCACACUAUGGAAUGAUGUGUCUGCUUGUACCAGGUCUGGAAGAAUGCACACCCAAUGCUCACAGAGGUUCCAUCUGGGAAAUCGGAUUGGACAGGGCCAGAAUAGAUCCAGGGGAAACAUUCACUGAAUAUAUAUACUUAUGUAUUGUGGAAGCUUUGAUGGUGGUCAUGUACCCAAGAAGGGAAAAAACAGACUGCGGAACUGCCCAUGAGGCCAAGCACCUAUUAGUAGACCAAGAAGCAUCACCCAACUGUGGCCUAAGUCGGCAGCCAGCUAUUGUUCUCAUCUGAGUCUGGGAGUUCAGGAUUUCCAUCCUGACCCGGCUACUUUCUUUCAACAGUUACCCACUGUAAAUUUCCGAAUACUUUCAGCUACUAAUCCCAGUGUACCCAAUUAAAAAUGGCUUUCCUAAUAAAGGCAUUUCAGAUCGAA